This 242-nucleotide unclassified non-coding RNA is filed under the name Glomeraceae sp. RNAcentral describes it as "partial contains 5.8S ribosomal RNA and internal transcribed spacer 2". The stretch from base 1 to 71 matches the Rfam family "5.8S ribosomal RNA", at positions 84 to 154 of the family's 154-position model. Lineage: Eukaryota; Fungi; Glomeromycota; Glomeromycetes; Glomerales; Glomeraceae. The record is from RNAcentral.
GUGAAUCAUCGAAUCUUUGAACGCAAAUUGCACUUCCUGGUAUUCCGGAGAGUAUGCCUGUUUGAGGGUCAGUUUAAAUAAAAAUCGGUGUGGUUGACGAAUUUUGUGGUGACGCACGGGUGGUGUGUCGUAUUGUUUUUGGUUAAGUGACUUAAAAUUUUGCUUGAUUUUUCUUGUAUGAAUGUAAAUAAUUUUUUGUUAUUUUGCGAUUCUUAAUGCUAAGUGUGUUUAUGAUGCUGUCA